UGGGGAAUAUUGCACAAUGGGGGAAACCCUGAUGCAGCGACGCCGCGUGAACGAAGAAGGUAUUCGUAUCGUAAAGUUCUGUCCUAUGGGAAGAUAAUGACAGUACCAUAGAAGAAAGCUCCGGCUAAAUACGUGCCAGCAGCCGCGGUAAUACGUAUGGAGCGAGCGUUGUCCGGAAUUAUUGGGCGUAAAGGGUACGCAGGCGGUUUAAUAAGUCGAAUGUUAAAGAACGGGGCUCAACCCCGCAAAGCAUUGGAAACUGAUAAACUUGAGUAGUGGAGAGGAAAGUGGAAUUCCUAGUGUAGUGGUGAAAUACGUAGAUAUUAGGAGGAAUACCAGUAGCGAAGGCGACUUUCUGGACACAAACUGACGCUGAGGUACGAAAGCGUGGGGAGCAAACAGG
This 403-nucleotide ribosomal RNA is filed under the name bacterium. RNAcentral describes it as "partial 16S ribosomal RNA". It matches the Rfam family "Bacterial small subunit ribosomal RNA", at positions 355 to 776 of the family's 1533-position model. The record is from RNAcentral.